UUUAUGGAGAGUUUGAUCCUGGCUCAGGAUGAACGCUGGCGGCGUGCCUAAUACAUGCAAGUCGAGCGAACGGACGAGAAGCUUGCUUCUCUGAUGUUAGCGGCGGACGGGUGAGUAACACGUGGAUAACCUACCUAUAAGACUGGGAUAACUUCGGGAAACCGGAGCUAAUACCGGAUAAUAUUUUGAACCGCAUGGUUCAAAAGUGAAAGACGGUCUUGCUGUCACUUAUAGAUGGAUCCGCGCUGCAUUAGCUAGUUGGUAAGGUAACGGCUUACCAAGGCAACGAUGCAUAGCCGACCUG
RNAcentral lists this ribosomal RNA (304 nucleotides) under Staphylococcus aureus. RNAcentral's name for it is "partial 16S ribosomal RNA". It matches the Rfam family "Bacterial small subunit ribosomal RNA", at positions 1 to 294 of the family's 1533-position model. The record is from RNAcentral. Lineage: Bacteria; Bacillati; Bacillota; Bacilli; Caryophanales; Staphylococcaceae.